Molecule: long non-coding RNA, 245 nt
Filed under: Trifolium pratense (red clover)
Lineage: Eukaryota; Viridiplantae; Streptophyta; Magnoliopsida; Fabales; Fabaceae
Description: long non-coding RNA (TPRA_LNC011586)
Source: RNAcentral
AUCUUAAUGAAGUUUUCUUUUUAAUCCGUUGAUAUUUGUCCUUUAUAACCAUAUUAAUUGCGCAAAAAAAAAAGUAAAAAACGGGUCAUUAAAGGCUCAACUAUAAAAAUCCAACAUCCUAGAAAAUUUGACCAACUUAGUUUAUAUUAUUUGAGAUGCACACCUAAUUUCGUUGUGCUUAUGUCUAACCCGAUUGAUUAACAACAUCCAUGAUUGACAUAUAUAUUGUGAUGCUUAACCCAUUU